AGGACGAACGCUGGCGGCACGCUUAACACAUGCAAGUCGAACGGAGUUAAUUGAGCUUGCUAAUAACUUAGUGGCGGACGGGUGAGUAACACGUGAGCAAUCUGCCUUUCAGAGGGGGAUAGCAGUUGGAAACGACUGAUAAUACCGCAUAACAUAGCGAGACCGCAUGAUCUUGCUAUCAAAGAUUUAUCGCUGAAAGAUGAGCUCGCGUCUGAUUAGAUAGUUGGUGAGGUAACGGCCCACCAAGUCGACGAUCAGUAGCCGGACUGAGAGGUUGAACGGCCACAUUGGGACUGAGACACGGCCCAGACUCCUACGGGAGGCAGCAGUGGGGAAUAUUGCACAAUGGAGGAAACUCUGAUGCAGCGAUGCCGCGUGAGGGAAGAAGGUUUUCGGAUUGUAAACCUCUGUCUUAUGGGACGAUAAUGACGGUACCAUAGGAGGAAGCUCCGGCUAACUACGUGCCAGCCGCUGC
This 475-nucleotide ribosomal RNA is filed under the name uncultured bacterium. Its description in RNAcentral is "bacterial SSU rRNA". It matches the Rfam family "Bacterial small subunit ribosomal RNA", at positions 26 to 518 of the family's 1533-position model. The record is from RNAcentral.